GUGAGUCAUCGAAUCUUUGAACGCACAUUGCGCCCCCUGGUAUUCCGGGGGGCAUGCCUGUCCGAGCGUCAUUGCUGCCCUUCAAGCCCGGCUUGUGUGUUGGGUCGUCGUCCCCUCCGGGGGACGGGCCCGAAAGGCAGCGGCGGCACCGUGUCCGGUCCUCGAGCGUAUGGGGCUUUGUCACCCGCUCGAUUAGGGCUGGCCGGGCGUCUGUCGACCCUCCAACCAUUUUUUCUCAGGUUGACCUCGGAUCAGGUAGGGAUACCCGCUGAACUUAAGCAUAUCAAUAAGCGGAGGA
This 298-nucleotide unclassified non-coding RNA is filed under the name Aspergillus sp. RNAcentral describes it as "partial contains 5.8S ribosomal RNA, internal transcribed spacer 2, and large subunit ribosomal RNA". The stretch from base 1 to 71 matches the Rfam family "5.8S ribosomal RNA", at positions 84 to 154 of the family's 154-position model. Lineage: Eukaryota; Fungi; Ascomycota; Eurotiomycetes; Eurotiales; Aspergillaceae. The record is from RNAcentral.